RNAcentral lists this ribosomal RNA (497 nucleotides) under uncultured bacterium. Its description in RNAcentral is "partial 16S ribosomal RNA". It matches the Rfam family "Bacterial small subunit ribosomal RNA", at positions 28 to 507 of the family's 1533-position model. The record is from RNAcentral.
GAUGAACGCUGGCGGCGUGCCUAAUACAUGCAAGUCGAGCGAACGGACGAGGAGCUUGCUUCUCUGAUGUUAGCGGCGGACGGGUGAGUAACACGUGGAUAACCUACCUAUAAGACUGGGAUAACUUCGGGAAACCGGAGCUAAUACCGGAUAAUAUUUUGAACCGCAUGGUUCAAAAGUGAAAGACGGUCUUGCUGUCACUUAUAGAUGGAUCCGCGCUGCAUUAGCUAGUUGGUAAGGUAACGGCUUACCAAGGCAACGAUGCAUAGCCGACCUGAGAGGGUGAUCGCCCACACUGGAACUGAGACACGGUCCAGACUCCUACGGGAGGCAGCAGUAGGGAAUCUUCCGCAAUGGGCGAAAGCCUGACGGAGCAACGCCGCGUGAGUGAUGAAGGUCUUCGGAUCGUAAAACUCUGUUAUUAGGGAAGAACAUAUGUGUAAGUAACUGUGCACAUCUUGACGGUACCUAAUCAGAAAGCCACGGCUAACUACGUG